Molecule: ribosomal RNA, 447 nt
Filed under: uncultured bacterium
Lineage: Bacteria
Description: bacterial SSU rRNA
Rfam family: Bacterial small subunit ribosomal RNA
Source: RNAcentral
UGGGGAAUCUUGGACAAUGGGCGCAAGCCUGAUCCAGCCAUGCCGCGUGAGUGAAGAAGGCCUUCGGGUUGUAAAGCUCUUUUACCAGGGACGAUAAUGGCGGUACCUGGAGAAUAAGCCCCGGCAAACUUCGUGCCAGCAGCCGCGGUAAUACGAAGGGGGCUAGCGUUGUUCGGAAUUACUGGGCGUAAAGCGCACGUAGGCGGAUUGUUAAGUCAGAGGUGAAAUCCCGGAGCUCAACUUCGGAACUGCCUUUGAUACUGGCAAUCUCGAGUCCGGAAGAGGUUAGUGGAAUUCCCAGUGUAGAGGUGAAAUUCGUAGAUAUUGGGAAGAACACCAGUGGCGAAGGCGGCUAACUGGUCCGGUACUGACGCUGAGGUGCGAAAGCGUGGGGAGCAAACAGGAUUAGAUACCCGAGUAGUCCCUGAGCGGGCUGGCAAGGCGCAU